Molecule: ribosomal RNA, 495 nt
Filed under: uncultured bacterium
Lineage: Bacteria
Description: partial 16S ribosomal RNA
Rfam family: Bacterial small subunit ribosomal RNA
Source: RNAcentral
GAUGAACGCUGGCGGCGUGCCUAAUACAUGCAAGUAGAACGCUGAAGGAGGAGCUUGCUCUUCUGGAUGAGUUGCGAACGGGUGAGUAACGCGUAGGGAACCUGCCUGGUAGCGGGGGAUAACUAUUGGAAACGAUAGCUAAUACAGCAUGACAACAGUUAUUGCAUGAUAACUGUUUAAAAGGGGAAACUGCUCCACUACCAGAUGGACCUGCGUUGUAUUAGCUAGUUGGUGAGGUAACGGCUCACCAAGGCGACGAUACAUAGCCGACCUGAGAGGGUGAUCGGCCACACUGGGAGUGAGACACGGCCCAGACUCCUACGGGAGGCAGCAGUAGGUGAUCUUCGGCGAUGGACGGAAGUCUGACCGAGCAACGCCGCGUGAGUGAAGAAUGUUUUCGUUUCGUAUAUCUCUGUUGUACGCGAAGAACGAGUGUGAGAGUGGAAAGUUCACACUGUGACGGUAUCUUACCAGAAAGCGACGGCUAACUACGUG